GGGCCCGUGGCUCAGGGGCUAGAGCGUCCGGCUGAUAACCGGGAGGUCGGGGGGUUCGAGUCCCCCCGGGCCCA
RNAcentral lists this transfer RNA (74 nucleotides) under Candidatus Nanobsidianus stetteri. RNAcentral's name for it is "tRNA-Ile". It matches the Rfam family "tRNA". From Rfam's summary of the family: Transfer RNA (tRNA) molecules are approximately 80 nucleotides in length. Their secondary structure includes four short double-helical elements and three loops (D, anti-codon, and T loops). Further hydrogen bonds mediate the characteristic L-shaped molecular structure. tRNAs have two regions of fundamental functional importance: the anti-codon, which is responsible for specific mRNA codon recognition, and the 3' end, to which the tRNAs corresponding amino acid is attached (by aminoacyl-tRNA synthetases). tRNAs cope with the degeneracy of the genetic code in two manners: having more than one tRNA (with a specific anti-codon) for a particular amino acid; and 'wobble' base-pairing, i.e. permitting non-standard base-pairing at the 3rd anti-codon position. The record is from RNAcentral. Lineage: Archaea; Nanobdellati; Nanobdellota; Candidatus Nanoarchaeia; Nanoarchaeales; Nanopusillaceae.